This 68-nucleotide transfer RNA is filed under the name Dryococelus australis. RNAcentral describes it as "tRNA-Ser". Lineage: Eukaryota; Metazoa; Arthropoda; Insecta; Phasmatodea; Phasmatidae. The record is from RNAcentral.
AGUUAAUAAGUUUUAUAGAAACAUAUAUUUUGAAAAUAUAAAAAAGAAGUUAACACUUCUAUUAACUU